Molecule: unclassified non-coding RNA, 204 nt
Filed under: Hevea brasiliensis (rubber tree)
Lineage: Eukaryota; Viridiplantae; Streptophyta; Magnoliopsida; Malpighiales; Euphorbiaceae
Source: RNAcentral
GUGUUCUAUUGUGUUCUACAUCAACAUGUUCCCUUAAUUAUUAGUUAUAAAUUUUCAUAAAAUUGUUUGAGAAGCCUUUUUAUGCAUUAAAGCAAACAACAAUACUAAACCUAAAUUCCAAAUUAGUUAGGAUUAGCAGAUCGGUUAUAUGAAUAAUUUUUUACUAUUUAGCUCUGUUUGAAACCAAUUCCAUAUCAAUAUCCA